Pelodiscus sinensis (Chinese soft-shelled turtle) is the source of this 199-nucleotide small nuclear RNA. It matches the Rfam family "U2 spliceosomal RNA". From Rfam's summary of the family: U2 is a small nuclear RNA (snRNA) component of the spliceosome (involved in pre-mRNA splicing). Complementary binding between U2 snRNA (in an area lying towards the 5' end but 3' to hairpin I) and the branchpoint sequence (BPS) of the intron results the bulging out of an unpaired adenosine, on the BPS, which initiates a nucleophilic attack at the intronic 5' splice site, thus starting the first of two transesterification reactions that mediate splicing. The record is from Rfam. NCBI's taxonomy places the organism in Eukaryota, Metazoa, Chordata, Testudines, Trionychidae.
AGUGUUUCCUGCAUACUCUUGAAGGCUAAGAUCAUGUGUAAUGUCUGUUCUUAUCAAUUUAAUAUCUGAUACAUUCUCUAUGGGUAAGUCUACAUUGCAAAGUUAAUUCAAAAUAGCAGCCGUUAUUUCAAAUUAACUUCAAUAGCGUCUAUACAUGCAAACCACUAUUUUGAAUUUAAUUCAAAAUAGCGGAGCGCUU